RNAcentral lists this ribosomal RNA (505 nucleotides) under uncultured bacterium. Its description in RNAcentral is "partial 16S ribosomal RNA". It matches the Rfam family "Bacterial small subunit ribosomal RNA", at positions 28 to 507 of the family's 1533-position model. The record is from RNAcentral.
GACGAACGCUGGCGGCGUGCCUAAUACAUGCAAGUAGAACGCACAGUUUAUACCGUAGCUUGCUACACCAUACACUGUGAGUUGCGAACGGGUGAGUAACGCGUAGGUAACCUGCCUGGUAGCGGGGGAUAACUAUUGGAAACGAUAGCUAAUACCGCAUAAUAUUGAUUAUUGCAUGAUAAUUGAUUGAAAGAUGCUAUUGCAUCACUACCAGAUGGACCUGCGUUGUAUUAGCUAGUAGGUGAGGUAACGGCUCACCUAGGCGACGAUACAUAGCCGACCUGAGAGGGUGAUCGGCCACACUGGGACUGAGACACGGCCCAGACGCCUACGGGAGGCAGCAGUAGGGAAUCUUCGGCAAUGGACGAAAGUCUGACCGAGCAACGCCGCGUGAGUGAAGAAGGGUUUCGGAUCGUAAAGCUCGGUUGUAAGAGAAGAACGGGUGUGAGAGUGGAAAGUUCACACUGUGACGGUAUCUUACCAGAAAGGGACGGCUAACUACGUG